UGGUCCUUAUAAGUGUCUAGCUGA
Molecule: non-coding RNA, 24 nt
Filed under: Arabidopsis thaliana (thale cress)
Lineage: Eukaryota; Viridiplantae; Streptophyta; Magnoliopsida; Brassicales; Brassicaceae
Source: RNAcentral